Molecule: ribosomal RNA, 401 nt
Filed under: Bacillus sp. CSu4_36
Lineage: Bacteria; Bacillati; Bacillota; Bacilli; Caryophanales; Bacillaceae
Description: bacterial SSU rRNA
Rfam family: Bacterial small subunit ribosomal RNA
Source: RNAcentral
UGGGUAACCUGCCUGUAAGACUGGGAUAACUCCGGGAAACCGGGGCUAAUACCGGAUGCUUGAUUGAACCGCAUGGUUCAAUCAUAAAAGGCGGCUUCGGCUGCCGUUUACAGAUGGACCCGCGGCGCAUUAGCUAGUUGGUGAGGUAACGGCUCACCAAGGCGACGAUGCGUAGCCGACCUGAGAGGGUGAUCGGCCACACUGGGACUGAGACACGGCCCAGACUCCUACGGGAGGCAGCAGUAGGGAAUCUUCCGCAAUGGACGAAAGUCUGACGGAGCAACGCCGCGUGAGUGAUGAAGGUUUUCGGAUCGUANAGCUCUGUUGUUAGGGAAGAACAAGUACCGUUCGAAUAGGGCGGUACCUUGACGGUACCUAACCAGAGAGCCACGGCUAACUAC